This is a non-coding RNA of Sulfurimonas sp., 74 nucleotides long. Lineage: Bacteria; Pseudomonadati; Campylobacterota; Epsilonproteobacteria; Campylobacterales; Sulfurimonadaceae. The record is from Rfam.
AGGCGUGUAGCUCCAAUGGUUAGAGCAUCGGAUUCCAAAUCCGAGUGAUGGGAGUUCGAGUCUCUCCACGCCUG